CCAAAGCUGACGAGUUCCAAACAGGACGAAACGCGCGUACUAG
RNAcentral lists this non-coding RNA (43 nucleotides) under Trichobilharzia regenti. The record is from RNAcentral. Lineage: Eukaryota; Metazoa; Platyhelminthes; Trematoda; Strigeidida; Schistosomatidae.